Molecule: ribosomal RNA, 152 nt
Filed under: uncultured bacterium
Lineage: Bacteria
Description: partial 16S ribosomal RNA
Rfam family: Bacterial small subunit ribosomal RNA
Source: RNAcentral
GGUCAAUGGACGAAAGUCUGACCCAGCCAAGCCGCGUGCAGGAUGAAGGCCCUAUGGGUGGAAAACUGUUUUUAUAGGGAAAAAAAGUGAGGUACGUCGUUCCAUUAUAUUAGUACAGUACCCUAUCGAACUAAGGACCGGCUAAUUCCGUG